This 513-nucleotide ribosomal RNA is filed under the name Tarachomantis caldwellii. RNAcentral's name for it is "partial 16S ribosomal RNA". It matches the Rfam family "Bacterial large subunit ribosomal RNA", at positions 1832 to 2600 of the family's 2925-position model. Lineage: Eukaryota; Metazoa; Arthropoda; Insecta; Mantodea; Mantidae. The record is from RNAcentral.
GGUUUCUUGUAAUUGUUUAAGAGAUUUGGCCUGCCCACUGAAAAUUUUUUGAAGGGCCGCAGUAUUUUGACUGUGCAAAGGUAGCAUAAUCAUUAGUCUUUUAAUUAAGGGCUGGUAUGAAUGGUUGGACGAGGUGAAUUCUGUUUUAUGUUAAUCUAAUUGAAUUUAGAAUUUAAGUAAGAAUACUUAAAUGUUGUUAAGGGACGAGAAGACCCUAUAGAGUUUAAUAUAUGUAGUAAUUAACUGAGUUAAUAUUUAAUUUUUGGUUAUUAUGAAAUAUAUUUAAUUGGGGUGAUUAGAAGAUAAGAUUAACUCUUCUUUAUGUUUAAUAUUAUAUUUAGUUAAGUGAUCCAUAUUUAAUGAUUAAAAGAUUAAAUUACCUUAGGGAUAACAGCAUAAUUCUUUUUGAGAGUUCAUAUCGAAAAAGGAGAUUGUGACCUCGAUGUUGGAUUAAGAUUAGUUAUGGGUGCAGAUGUUCAAUAACUAGGUCUGUUCGACCUUGAAAAUCUUACA